Molecule: ribosomal RNA, 157 nt
Filed under: Hymenostilbe sp. XCH-ant-03
Lineage: Eukaryota; Fungi; Ascomycota; Sordariomycetes; Hypocreales; Ophiocordycipitaceae
Description: 5.8S ribosomal RNA
Rfam family: 5.8S ribosomal RNA
About the family: 5.8S ribosomal RNA (5.8S rRNA) is a component of the large subunit of the eukaryotic ribosome. It is transcribed by RNA polymerase I as part of the 45S precursor that also contains 18S and 28S rRNA. Functionally, it is thought that 5.8S rRNA may be involved in ribosome translocation.
Source: RNAcentral
AACUUUCAACAACGGAUCUCUUGGUUCCAGCAUCGAUGAAGAACGCAGCGAAAUGCGAUAAUUAAUGUGAAUUGCAGAAUUCCGUGAAUCAUCGAGUUUUUGAACGCACAUUGCACUCCUUGGUAUUCCGAGGAGUACGCCUGUUCGAGCGUCAUUA